RNAcentral lists this microRNA precursor (201 nucleotides) under Medicago truncatula (barrel medic). RNAcentral's name for it is "MIR2670 microRNA precursor family". It matches the Rfam family "MIR2670 microRNA precursor family". The record is from Rfam by way of RNAcentral. Lineage: Eukaryota; Viridiplantae; Streptophyta; Magnoliopsida; Fabales; Fabaceae.
AUUGGGGUAAAAAGAGAUCAAUUGACUUAGGGUAAAAAAUGUUCAACCCUUAGGAUAAAACUAAAUCUGCUUCGUUUUACCUCAAAAACUUUUUACCGUAGGUAAAAAGAAUCUUCUUGGGGGUAUAAAAAGAACCAAAUUUAAAUUUAUCCUAAGGGUUGAUGUCUUUUUACCCCAAGAUUGGUCUCUUUUUACCCCAAA